This 449-nucleotide ribosomal RNA is filed under the name uncultured bacterium. RNAcentral describes it as "bacterial SSU rRNA". It matches the Rfam family "Bacterial small subunit ribosomal RNA", at positions 329 to 794 of the family's 1533-position model. The record is from RNAcentral.
CGCCAGACUCCUACGGGAGGCAGCAGUGGGGAAUAUUGCACAAUGGGGGAAACCCUGAUGCAGCGACGCCGCGUGAGUGAAGAAGUAUUUCGGUAUGUAAAGCUCUCUCAGCAGGGAAGAAAAUGACGGUACCUGAUUAAGAAGCCCCGGCUAACUACGUGCCAGCAGCCGCGGUAAUACGUAGGGGGCAAGCGUUAUCCGGAUUUACUGGGUGUAAAGGGAGCGUAGACGGUGAUGCAAGUCAGAAGUGAAAGCCCGGGGCUCAACUCCGGGACUGCUUUUGAAACUGUGUGACUGGAGUGCAGGAGAGGUAAGCGGAAUUCCUGGUGUAGCGGUGAAAUGCGUAGAUAUCAGGAGGAACACCAGUGGCGAAGGCGGCUUACUGGACUGUAACUGACGUUGAGGCUCGAAAGCGUGGGGAGCAAACAGGAUUAGAUACCCUCGUAAGA